This 316-nucleotide unclassified non-coding RNA is filed under the name uncultured fungus. RNAcentral's name for it is "partial contains 5.8S ribosomal RNA and internal transcribed spacer 2". The stretch from base 1 to 133 matches the Rfam family "5.8S ribosomal RNA", at positions 22 to 154 of the family's 154-position model. The record is from RNAcentral. Lineage: Eukaryota; Fungi.
UGGUUCCGGCAUCGAUGAAGAACGCAGCGAAAUGCGAUAAGUAAUGUGAAUUGCAGAAUUCAGUGAAUCAUCGAAUCUUUGAACGCAUAUUGCGCCCCUUGGUAUUCCGAGGGGCAUGCCUGUCCGAGCGUCAUUGCACCUCUCAAGCACGGCUUGGUCCUGGGCCUGCCCCCUGCGGCAGCCCCGAAAUGCAGUGGCAGCCUGGUGAGACUUCAAGCGCAGUGAACAUUUUCGCUCUGGAUGCUCUUGCUGCGGCCCGCCAGCUCAACCCCAAUAUUUUCAGGUUGACCUCAGAUCAGGUAGGGAUACCCGCUGA